RNAcentral lists this ribosomal RNA (253 nucleotides) under uncultured bacterium. RNAcentral describes it as "partial 16S ribosomal RNA". It matches the Rfam family "Bacterial small subunit ribosomal RNA", at positions 524 to 776 of the family's 1533-position model. The record is from RNAcentral.
UACAGGGGGGGCAAGCGUUGUUCAGAAUUACUGGGCGUAAAGGGCUCGUAGGUGGCCAACUAAGUCGGACGUGAAAUCCCUCAGCUUAACUGGGGAACUGCGUCCGAUACUGGAUGGCUUGAGUUUGGGAGAGGGAUGCGGAAUUCCAGGUGUAGCGGUGAAAUGCGUAGAUAUCUGGAGGAACACCGGUGGCGAAGGCGGCAUCCUGGACCAACACUGACACUGAGGAGCGAAAGCCAGGGGAGCAAACGGG